Long non-coding RNA from Apodemus sylvaticus (European woodmouse), 676 nucleotides. RefSeq lists it as uncharacterized. The transcript has 4 exons. The record is from RefSeq and is a predicted model, not a curated record. NCBI's taxonomy places the organism in Eukaryota, Metazoa, Chordata, Mammalia, Rodentia, Muridae.
CUGCCAUCCUUGCCUAUUGUGUGACAUGUGUGGAGCGCCCCCUGGAGGCGACGGCCGGCAAGCCUUGGGGGAAAGGCUUGGGGCCUUCCAAGGUGUAAGAGGGAAGUGCAUUUGCUCCUUGCCCCAGGCUGUCCUCCCGGUAGGUGGAGUCUGCUAGGGAGUGCCUUGCCUGGAAGGGCAAAGGGCUCUGUUAGCCCCAACCAACUGACAAGAGUCUCAGUCACCAGGCCUCGACUCUCUAAGAGCAUAGAAAGAACCCAGAAUCCCAAGCGGCAGGAGCACUGGGGGACACCCGGGCAGAGCCUUCCCUGGAGCGAGUACUGCAGGAGAGGGAUGAAGCCAUUGCUAAGAAGCGAGCGGUGGAAGAGGAACUGGAUUCCUGUCGCUCCAGGUUGCGCACCGUGGAGGCUCAGCUGCUGGAAGUCCUGCAGGAGAAACUGAGGCUGAAACAGGAGGUGGAGGCCUGGGAGGAAGACAUGCAACAUAUGGUUCGAGAGCGGGUGCGGAGUCAGCUGCAGGGGGAGUCCCGAGGCACUCUGGGAGCACAGGAGAAGACAGGCGCAGGCAGGAGUUCCUGGAUCCAACUCUCCAGUCAGUGGGGGCGACGGUGGUAAAAAUGGAUCCAGGACUUUAAGGGAACUGUCUUUAUUCAUUAAAGUGUCGGGCCACCUCUGUA